UGGCACGUAGCUCAGCUGGUAGAGCAUGCGCGUACAAAGCAUAAGCGGUGUCCAUGCGUGGGUUCGAAUCCCACCUAGGCUA
This 82-nucleotide transfer RNA is filed under the name Echinostoma caproni. It matches the Rfam family "tRNA". Rfam says of the family: Transfer RNA (tRNA) molecules are approximately 80 nucleotides in length. Their secondary structure includes four short double-helical elements and three loops (D, anti-codon, and T loops). The record is from Rfam by way of RNAcentral. Lineage: Eukaryota; Metazoa; Platyhelminthes; Trematoda; Plagiorchiida; Echinostomatidae.